GACGAACGCUGGCGGCGUGCUUAACACAUGCAAGUCGAACGGAAAGGCCCUGCUUUUGUGGGGUGCUCGAGUGGCGAACGGGUGAGUAACACGUGAGUAACCUGCCCUUGACUUUGGGAUAACUUCAGGAAACUGGGGCUAAUACCGGAUAGGAGCUCCUGCUGCAUGGUGGGGGUUGGAAAGUUUCGGCGGUUGGGGAUGGACUCGCGGCUUAUCAGCUUGUUGGUGGGGUAGUGGCUUACCAAGGCGUUGACGGGUAGCCGGCCUGAGAGGGUGACCGGCCACAUUGGGACUGAGAUACGGCCCAGACUCCUACGGGAGGCAGCAGUGGGGAAUAUUGCACAAUGGGCGGAAGCCUGAUGCAGCAACGCCGCGUGCGGGAUGACGGCCUUCGGGUUGUAAACCGCUUUCGCCUGUGACGAAGCGUGAGUGACGGUAAUGGGUAAAGAAGCGCCGGCUAACUACGUG
This 468-nucleotide ribosomal RNA is filed under the name uncultured bacterium. RNAcentral's name for it is "partial 16S ribosomal RNA". It matches the Rfam family "Bacterial small subunit ribosomal RNA", at positions 28 to 507 of the family's 1533-position model. The record is from RNAcentral.